Molecule: ribosomal RNA, 497 nt
Filed under: uncultured bacterium
Lineage: Bacteria
Description: partial 16S ribosomal RNA
Rfam family: Bacterial small subunit ribosomal RNA
Source: RNAcentral
GAUGAACGCUGGCGGCGUGCCUAAUACAUGCAAGUCGAGCGAACAGACGAGGAGCUUGCUCCUCUGACGUUAGCGGCGGACGGGCGAGUAACACGUGGAUAACCUACCUAUAAGACUGGGAUAACUUCGGGAAACCGGAGCUAAUACCGGAUAACAUGUUGAACCGCAUGGUUCAACAGUGAAAGACGGUUUUGCUGUCACUUAUAGAUGGAUCCGCGUCGCAUUAGCUAGUUGGUAAGGUAACGGCUUACCAAGGCAACGAUGCGUAGCCGACCUGAGAGGGUGAUCGGCCACACUGGAACUGAGACACGGUCCAGACUCCUACGGGAGGCAGCAGUAGGGAAUCUUCCGCAAUGGGCGAAAGCCUGACGGAGCAACGCCGCGUGAGUGAAGAAGGUCUUCGGAUCGUAAAACUCUGUUAUUAGGGAAGAACAAAUGUGUAAGUAACUAUGCACGUCUUGACGGUACCUAAUCAGAAAGCCACGGCUAACUACGUG